RNAcentral lists this ribosomal RNA (501 nucleotides) under uncultured bacterium. RNAcentral describes it as "partial 16S ribosomal RNA". It matches the Rfam family "Bacterial small subunit ribosomal RNA", at positions 30 to 523 of the family's 1533-position model. The record is from RNAcentral.
AUUGAACGCUGGCGGCAGGCUUAACACAUGCAAGUCGAGCGGGGGAAGGUAGCUUGCUACCGGACCUAGCGGCGGACGGGUGAGUAAUGCUUAGGAAUCUGCCUAUUAGUGGGGGACAACAUCUCGAAAGGGAUGCUAAUACCGCAUACGUCCUACGGGAGAAAGCAGGGGAUCUUCGGACCUUGCGCUAAUAGAUGAGCCUAGGUCGGAUUAGCUAGUUGGUGGGGUAAGGGCCUACCAAGGCGACGAUCUGUAGCGGGUCUGAGAGGAUGAUCCGCCACACUGGGACUGAGACACGGCCCAGACUACUACGGGAGGCAGCAGUGGGGAAUAUGGGACAAUGGGGGGAACCCUGAUCCAGCCAUGCCGCGUGUGUGAAGAAGGCCUUAUGGUUGUAAAGCACUUUAAGCGAGGAGGAGGCUACUCUAGUUAAUACCUAGGGAUAGUGGACGUUACUCGCAGAAUAAGCACCGGCUAACUCUGUGCCAGCCGCCGCCGUAA